Molecule: ribosomal RNA, 437 nt
Filed under: uncultured Clostridiales Family IV bacterium
Lineage: Bacteria; Bacillati; Bacillota; Clostridia; Eubacteriales; Eubacteriales Family IV. Incertae Sedis
Description: bacterial SSU rRNA
Rfam family: Bacterial small subunit ribosomal RNA
Source: RNAcentral
ACGGGAGGCAGCAGUGGGGGAUAUUGCACAAUGGAGGAAACUCUGAUGCAGCAACGCCGCGUGAAGGAAGAAGGUCUUCGGAUUGUAAACUUCUGUUCUUGGUGAAGAAACAAAUGACGGUAGCCAAGGAGAAAGCCACGGCUAACUACGUGCCAGCAGCCGCGGUAAUACGUAGGUGGCGAGCGUUGUCCGGAAUUACUGGGUGUAAAGGGUGCGCAGGCGGGACUGCAAGUUGGAUGUGAAAUCCCGGAGCUUAACUCCGGAACUGCAUCCAAAACUGUGGUUCUUGAGUGAAGUAGAGGUAGGCGGAAUUCCGAGUGUAGCGGUGAAAUGCGUAGAUAUUCGGAGGAACACCAGUGGCGAAGGCGGCCUACUGGGCUUUAACUGACGCUGAGGCACGAAAGUAUGGGGAGCAAACAGGAUUAGAUACCCUGGUA